RNAcentral lists this long non-coding RNA (373 nucleotides) under Populus trichocarpa (black cottonwood). RNAcentral's name for it is "long non-coding RNA (PTRI_LNC002080)". Lineage: Eukaryota; Viridiplantae; Streptophyta; Magnoliopsida; Malpighiales; Salicaceae. The record is from RNAcentral.
GCUCUUAUUUAUGAUAAUAUUGCACAUGGCAUCCUAAGCUUGAUCCAAUUAAAGCACCAUAUAGCAGUAUAGUAUCAGUAGGGCAUACCAGUACAGGGCAUGGUGCCUCGUCUCCCAUUUAAGUUAUAGGAGCACCUGUCAGAAGAAGAAAGAGGGGAGCUGCAUGGUUAACAUGUCUGGGCAAUGUUUGGAGCUCAUGAAAGGACUAACCAACCUCCCAGGCGACAAACCCACCUGAAGCUUAGAGAUAAAAUGGGGUCCAUUUUUGGAAAUAGAUUUUGAUUUUAGAAAACAGUUUGGACUUGUUGCUUUGAUUGUAGGGUUCCACUCGUUUAAGUCUUGAUAGAACCUCAAUCUUGUCAAAACCCAAUCU